RNAcentral lists this ribosomal RNA (253 nucleotides) under uncultured bacterium. Its description in RNAcentral is "partial 16S ribosomal RNA". It matches the Rfam family "Bacterial small subunit ribosomal RNA", at positions 524 to 776 of the family's 1533-position model. The record is from RNAcentral.
UACGUGGGGUGCAAGCGUUAAUCGGAUUUACUGGGCGUAAAGGGCGCGUAGGCGGUUUAUUAAGUUAUUUGUGAAAUCCCUGGGCUUAACCUGGGCAGGCCAGAUAAGACUGGUAGACUCGAGUAUGGGAGAGGGUAGUGGAAUUUCCGGUGUAGCGGUGAAAUGCGUAGAGAUCGGAAGGAACACCAGUGGCGAAGGCGGCUACCUGGCCUAAUACUGACACUGAGGCACGAAAGCGUGGGGAGCAAACAGG